AUUGAACGCUGGCGGCAUGCCUAACACAUGCAAGUCGAACGGUAACAGGCCCUUCGGGGCGCUGACGAGUGGCGGACGGGUGAGUAAUGCUUAGGAAUCUGCCUAGUAGUGGGGGAUAACCCGGGGAAACUCGGGCUAAUACCGCAUACGUCCUACGGGAGAAAGCGGGGGACCUUCGGGCCUCGCGCUAUUAGAUGAGCCUAAGUCCGAUUAGCUAGUUGGUAGGGUAAUAGCCUACCAAGGCGACGAUCGGUAGCUGGUCUGAGAGGACGACCAGCCACACUGGGACUGAGACACGGCCCAGACUCCUACGGGAGGCAGCAGUGGGGAAUAUUGGACAAUGGGCGCAAGCCUGAUCCAGCGAUGCCGCGUGUGUGAAGAAGGCCUGCGGGUUGUAAAGCACUUUCAGUUGUGAAGAAAGACCGCGGGCUAAUACCCCUCGGUCUUGACGUUAAUGACAGAAGAAGCACCGGCUAACUCCGUGCCAGCCGCCGC
Molecule: ribosomal RNA, 495 nt
Filed under: uncultured bacterium
Lineage: Bacteria
Description: bacterial SSU rRNA
Rfam family: Bacterial small subunit ribosomal RNA
Source: RNAcentral